Molecule: ribosomal RNA, 116 nt
Filed under: Escherichia coli
Lineage: Bacteria; Pseudomonadati; Pseudomonadota; Gammaproteobacteria; Enterobacterales; Enterobacteriaceae
Source: RNAcentral
CCUGGCGGCCGUAGCGCGGUGGUCCCACCUGACCCCAUGCCGAACUCAGAAGAGAAACGCCGUAGCGCCGAUGGUAGUGUGGGGUCUCCCCAUGCGAGAGUAGGGAACUGCCAGGC